UGGGGAAUUUUCCGCAAUGGGCGAAAGCCUGACGGAGCAAUACCGCGUGAGGGAGGAAGGCUCUUGGGUUGUAAACCUCUUUUCUUAGGGAAGAAGCAAGUGACGGUACCUAAGGAAUAAGCAUCGGCUAACUCCGUGCCAGCAGCCGCGGUAAUACGGAGGAUGCAAGCGUUAUCCGGAAUUAUUGGGCGUAAAGCGUCCGUAGGUGGUUUUUCAAGUCUGCUGUCAAAGACCGUGGCUUAACCACGGAAAGGCAGUGGAAACUGAGAGACUAGAGUUCGGUAGGGGUAGCGGGAAUUCCCAGUGUAGCGGUGAAAUGCGUAGAUAUUGGGAAGAACAUCGGUGGCGAAGGCGCGCUACUGGACCGAAACUGACACUCAGAGGACGAAAGCUAGGGGAGCGAAAG
RNAcentral lists this ribosomal RNA (406 nucleotides) under uncultured cyanobacterium. RNAcentral's name for it is "partial 16S ribosomal RNA". It matches the Rfam family "Bacterial small subunit ribosomal RNA", at positions 355 to 774 of the family's 1533-position model. The record is from RNAcentral. Lineage: Bacteria; Bacillati; Cyanobacteriota.